This 268-nucleotide ribosomal RNA is filed under the name uncultured bacterium. Its description in RNAcentral is "partial 16S ribosomal RNA". It matches the Rfam family "Bacterial small subunit ribosomal RNA", at positions 524 to 787 of the family's 1533-position model. The record is from RNAcentral.
UACGUAGGGUGCAAGCGUUAAUCGGAAUUACUGGGCGUAAAGCGUGCGCAGGCGGUUCGCUAAGACAGAUGUGAAAUCCCCGGGCUUAACCUGGGAACUGCAUUUGUGACUGGCGGGCUAGAGUAUGGCAGAGGGGGGGUAGAAUUCCACGUGUAGCAGUGAAAUGCGUAGAGAUGUGGAGGAAUACCGAUGGCGAAGGCAGCCCCCUGGGCCAAUACUGACGCUCAUGCCACGAAAGCGUGGGGAGCGAACAGGACUUAGGAAACCC